CCUACGGGAGGCAGCAGUGAGGAAUAUUGGUCAAUGGACGAGAGUCUGAAGCAGCAACGUCGCGUGAAGGAUGACUGCCCUAUGGGUUGUAAACUUCUUUUAUAUGGGACUAAAACAGGGUAUGCAUACCCUCUUGUAUGUACCAUAUGAAUAAGGAUCGGCUAACUCCGUGCCAGCAGCCGCGGUAAUACGGAGGGUCCGAGCGUUAUCCGGAUUUAUUGGGUGUAAAGGGAGCGUAGGUGGAUUGUUAAGUCAGUUGUGAAAGUUUGCGGCUCAACCGUAAAAUUGCAGUUGAUACUGGGAGUCUUGAGGACAGUAGAGGUAGGCGGAAUUCGUGGUGUAGCGGUGAAAUGCGUAGAUAUCACGAAGAACACCGAUGGCGAAGGCGGCUCACUGGACUGCAACUGACACUGAUGCUCGAAAGUGUGGGUAGCAAACAGGAUUAGAUACCCGGGUAGUC
This 460-nucleotide ribosomal RNA is filed under the name uncultured bacterium. RNAcentral's name for it is "partial 16S ribosomal RNA". It matches the Rfam family "Bacterial small subunit ribosomal RNA", at positions 338 to 795 of the family's 1533-position model. The record is from RNAcentral.